GCAUAGGAAUCUGCCCGGUAUGGGGGAUAACCUGGGGAAACCCAGCUAAUACCGCAUACGUCCUACGGGAGAAAGCAGGGAUCUUCGGACCUUGCGCUAUCGGAUGAGCCUAUGUCGGAUUAGCUAGUUGGUGAGGUAAUGGCUCACCAAGGCCGCGAUCCGUAGCUGGUCUGAGAGGAUGAUCAGCCACAUCGGGACUGAGACACGGCCCGAACUCCUACGGGAGGCAGCAGUGGGGAAUAUUGGACAAUGGGCGAAAGCCUGAUCCAGCCAUGCCGCGUGUGUGAAGAAGGCUUUCGGGUUGUAAAGCACUUUCAGUGGGGAAGAAAUCCUCGGGGCCAAUACCCUCGAGGGAGGACAUCACCCACAGAAGAAGCACCGGCUAACUCCGUGCCAGCAGCCGCGGUAAUACGGAGGGUGCGAGCGUUAAUCGGAAUUACUGGGCGUAAAGCGCGCGUAGGCGGCGUGAUAAGCCGGUUGUGAAAGCCCCGGGCUCAACCUGGGAACGGCAUCCGGAACUGUCAGGCUAGAGUGCAGGAGAGGAAGGUAGAUUCCCG
Molecule: ribosomal RNA, 557 nt
Filed under: uncultured bacterium
Lineage: Bacteria
Description: bacterial SSU rRNA
Rfam family: Bacterial small subunit ribosomal RNA
Source: RNAcentral